GGACAUGAGGGCGAUCUGGCUACGACAUCUGUCACCCCAUUGAUCGCCAGGGUUGAUUCGGCUGAUCUGGCUGGCUAGGCGGGUGUCCCCUUCCUCCCUCACUGUUCCAUGUGCCUCCCUCCCGAAGUUGUGCACUCAGUCGAAGAGGACAGCCUUCCCCGAAUAGAGAAGGACCGGUCUUCGGUCUUGCGCUCCCCUGCUAGAACCUCCAAAAAAUCUCUCAAGAAUACCUUAGAAUAUACCUAAGAUAGACUUCCUAGCUUCUUUCAACAUGAAGACUCCAAUUCU
Erinaceus europaeus (western European hedgehog) is the source of this 288-nucleotide unclassified non-coding RNA. Its record names the gene 7SK. It matches the Rfam family "7SK RNA". From Rfam's summary of the family: 7SK was discovered as an abundant small nuclear RNA in the mid-70s but a possible function has only recently been suggested. The record is from Ensembl. Lineage: Eukaryota; Metazoa; Chordata; Mammalia; Eulipotyphla; Erinaceidae.